This 497-nucleotide ribosomal RNA is filed under the name uncultured bacterium. RNAcentral's name for it is "partial 16S ribosomal RNA". It matches the Rfam family "Bacterial small subunit ribosomal RNA", at positions 28 to 507 of the family's 1533-position model. The record is from RNAcentral.
GAUGAACGCUGGCGGCGUGCCUAAUACAUGCAAGUCGAGCGAACAGACGAGGAGCUUGCUCCUUUGACGUUAGCGGCGGACGGGUGAGUAACACGUGGGUAACCUACCUAUAAGACUGGGAUAACUUCGGGAAACCGGAGCUAAUACCGGAUAAUAUUUCGAACCGCAUGGUUCGAUAGUGAAAGAUGGCUUUGCUAUCACUUAUAGAUGGACCUGCGCCGUAUUAGCUAGUUGGUAAGGUAACGGCUUACCAAGGCAACGAUACGUAGCCGACCUGAGAGGGUGAUCGGCCACACUGGAACUGAGACACGGUCCAGACUCCUACGGGAGGCAGCAGUAGGGAAUCGUCCGCAAUGGGCGAAAGCCUGACGGAGCAACGCCGCGUGAGUGAUGAAGGUCUUCGGAUCGUAAAACUCUGUUAUUAGGGAAGAAUAAACGUGUAAGUAACUGUGCACGUCUUGACGGUACCUAAUCAGAAAGCCACGGCUAACUACGUG